This is an RNA transcript of Pieris napi, 648 nucleotides long. RefSeq lists it as uncharacterized. NCBI's taxonomy places the organism in Eukaryota, Metazoa, Arthropoda, Insecta, Lepidoptera, Pieridae. The transcript is spliced from 3 exons. The record is from RefSeq and is a predicted model, not a curated record.
UCGAGGCGUAAACUCGGAGGUCAUGGUGCGUGAAUUGUAAUGCACGUUGGUUUUUUCUGUUUUCUUUUUUGUAUUAUUAAAGGAACGGAUUGCUUAUUUUGUUAUAAUGGAACUUUUAGAUAUAAUGUAUAUGGCGAGGAUCCUUUGCAACGAAAAACGUUAUUUUCUUAUAGAAAAGUUUUUUCACGAAGACGUUGUGCUUCAACGAUUAAGUGUAGAGAUGAAACAAUGUGUUUUGUGCGAUCAUGGACUGCUCGCUCUAGACAUGCUUGGAUUGUUCAAAGAGGCUGCUAUCAAAUUCAAAAAGGUGAUCUCCUGCCACGGACGAUGAAUAUACCAAUGCGAUCGAUGUCUUGUAAAUAUGAAAGACGACACAAGGCGGCUGCGACGGGCUAUCGAGUAGGCGUGGGAACUAAACGCGGAGACCGAGUGGCGCCACGGGCAAUUUGACAACCACGAUCACCUCCGAUCUCUCACCUUCUUGUACCGUAUGCAUUAUUAGCAUCUAUAUAACUAGAUUUUUAAAUAAGAUUUGAAGUAUUUUAAGUGUAAUUUACUUAUAUCGAAUUUCAUAUAAAACAUUGUUAUUUACUUGACGUAUCCAAAGUGUAACAAGCAAGUAUAAAAUUUAACGAUAUUUUAAAAUAA